CUACAGCAGAUGACUUCUGCCUGCAGCAUCAGUGUCCAAGGCACCCGACAAUAGUGGACUCAUCAGCAACCUCGAAAAUAUCCGAGCUUCUCUUAGAUUGCAGAGAUAGAGAGCCAUUCCGCUCCAUCAGACAUUCCAACCGAGCUUCAGCCGUCAGUCUUGAACUCUCUGGCAAAUUGCGACAGUGGCCACUAUCCCACUCCACUCUCUGUAACAGAUUUCACAUGGCCCCACCACUCUCUAGCA
This 246-nucleotide long non-coding RNA is filed under the name Elaeis guineensis (African oil palm). RNAcentral's name for it is "long non-coding RNA (EGUI_LNC075871)". Lineage: Eukaryota; Viridiplantae; Streptophyta; Magnoliopsida; Arecales; Arecaceae. The record is from RNAcentral.